RNAcentral lists this long non-coding RNA (945 nucleotides) under Ananas comosus (pineapple). RNAcentral describes it as "long non-coding RNA (ACOM_LNC015235)". The record is from RNAcentral. Lineage: Eukaryota; Viridiplantae; Streptophyta; Magnoliopsida; Poales; Bromeliaceae.
GUCAUAUAGCAUAAUUUGUUUUCUACUAAAAAAUCUUGGUUGAAAUUGAAAUAUAAAAUAUUAGAAAUAAAAAAAAACGUACAGAAUUUAUAUGAAGUAUGAACCAUUCACUACAACAGAAUUAGGUUAUAGGGACACUUGUUUGGGACACUUUUGAGUAAGUGUCUCAUUUAUGCUAAAACUUAAAAAAACAUCUACUUAUGCCUAAAUAUAAAGCCCAAUCCAACCAAAAAUAAAAGAUUACUCUACUCAACCCACCACACCCAGUCCAUUUGGCCUUAUUACAAACAGAAAAGAAAAAAAAAAGAAUAAUCAAUUACCAUCUUUUCUUCUCUCUUCACUCAAUCCACUGAAAUUCUAGACGAAGAGCCUUUCCUGUCGUCCUCCUCAGCCACCGCAGCCAACGAGAUAGAGUUUCAGCGGUUGCUAAAUACUUAAAUAAGUGUUGGUAAAUUAGCAGCACUCUUUUAGGCUAUAGCAACACUUUUUAACUAUCACUAUAUACCUAGCGACCCCACAUAUAGCAACACUUUUUAAAAGUGUCGGUAAUUUUAGCUAGCAGCAUUUUUUUGACAUGUACCUAUAUUUAAAAGUGUCGCUAUAAACCGCUUUUGUUGUAGUGAUUUUAAAUUGGCUACCAAUUUUUAAUUUGUGUGAUUCGAGUCAGUCAACGUACUUUGAAUUUGAAAUUUAAGCUAUCUACCACCUUUAAUGAAUUUUUCGAAGAGAGAAAGUGAAGCGAGAGUGAGGACAAAAUAAAAAGAGAAAAGGUGACAGAGAGAAACUAAAAGAGAGAAGAAAAAGAGAUAAGGAAGAGUAAGUAAAGAAAAAUUAAGAGGUAGAAAGAGAGGAAAGAGUGGGGAGAAUGAUGUAAGAAAGAUUCACAUUUUAUCAUAAUGUCUGUAUUAUCUCUUUCACAUCUCUUCACACACUGAUUAAAAAAGU